UACGGAGGGUGCGAGCGUUGUCCGGAAUCACUGGGCGUAAAGGGCGCGUAGGCGGCUUCUCAAGGGUGUGGUGAAAGUCAGGGGCUCAACCCCUGAUCGGCCGUGCGAACUGGGGAGCUUGAGCACUGUAGAGGCAGGCGGAAUUCCGGGUGUAGCGGUGGAAUGCGUAGAGAUCCGGAAGAACACCGGUGGCGAAGGCGGCCUGCUGGGCAGUUUUGCUGACACUGAGGCGCGACAGCGUGGGGAGCAAACAGG
Molecule: ribosomal RNA, 255 nt
Filed under: uncultured bacterium
Lineage: Bacteria
Description: partial 16S ribosomal RNA
Rfam family: Bacterial small subunit ribosomal RNA
Source: RNAcentral